CGAGUUGGCCGGGCGGCCGCGGCUCGCACACCGAGUCGAGGAAAGUCCGGACUUCACAGAGCAGGGUGAUUGCUAACGGCAAUCCGAGGUGACUCGCGGGAAAGUGCCACAGAAAACAAACCGCCACCCUUGUGGUGGUAAGGGUGAAACGGUGCGGUAAGAGCGCACCAGCAUUCCGGGUGACCGGAAUGGCUCGGCAAACCCCACCCGAAGCAAGGCCAAGAACACCGCACCACGGUGCGGUCGCGCAGGCGCCUGAGGGUUGCUCGCCCGAGCCUGCGGGUAGGCCGCUUGAGGCACCCGGUGACGGUGUGUCCAGAUGGAUGGUCGCCGCCGCGUUACUAGGUAGCGCGGAACAGAAUCCGGCUUACAGGCCAACUCGCCCG
Molecule: RNase P RNA, 386 nt
Filed under: Candidatus Mycobacterium methanotrophicum
Lineage: Bacteria; Bacillati; Actinomycetota; Actinomycetes; Mycobacteriales; Mycobacteriaceae
Description: Mycobacterium sp. 'sulfur cave' RNase P RNA component class A
Rfam family: Bacterial RNase P class A
About the family: Ribonuclease P (RNase P) is a ubiquitous endoribonuclease, found in archaea, bacteria and eukarya as well as chloroplasts and mitochondria. Its best characterised activity is the generation of mature 5'-ends of tRNAs by cleaving the 5'-leader elements of precursor-tRNAs.
Source: RNAcentral